This 310-nucleotide unclassified non-coding RNA is filed under the name Hevea brasiliensis (rubber tree). The record is from RNAcentral. Lineage: Eukaryota; Viridiplantae; Streptophyta; Magnoliopsida; Malpighiales; Euphorbiaceae.
GGCUUGUUGUAGAGCUUGGCCAAUAGUUGAAUGCAAUUUUGCCAUCAUUCUUAAGAAAAAUUCUAAUACAGAUAAAGAUCUUAAAAAAUGUAGAACCAUAAAUUUCUAAAUAAGAUCAGACAUAGAAGUUAUGUGAUACUCUUAAAUAUUCCAUCUAUCCUUGUAAAGUUCUCAUCUUUCAUUUUGCACAAAUUUAAGAAAACAUAAUUAAUAUCAUGACAACCCACAUUUUUCAUUGCAUUCUUCCUUUUACACCCCUCAUCAUUUUUGAUGCCAUAAUAAAUACAAAUUUCGUGAAAUGCAAAGUGAA